AUGGAGAUGAACAAGGAAGAAUGUGGCUCUACAUUUCAGGGUUCAGAACACUAUGUCUUUGCUCUUAAACCCAACACUCCUAAUUUCUUCAGCCUUCCUCCUGCGACACUUCUUGAAAGCAGUGGAAUAAUGAGUGACAGUGUGGACACCAGUCUACAGCCCAGUAAAGAUGGCAGUCUCCUGAGGGCUCUAUGCUGCCUCCUUCCGGGCCCUGGUACUGCAGCCCCUGGGUCUGGGAUCCGCCUUCCAGCAGAGGUGCUCAGCAGCAGCAGCCAGAUGUGCAAAGGACAGAGCAGUUUUCAGGAGCUGUCAUGGACCCCCUCCAAGGAAACAGUCCCCUGGAAACUCCUCCUUGGAAUGAUGUGGACAUUUUCAAGGAAAAAGUGGCGACCAUUGUGACCCUGAACUUUGGGCCCCAGCACCAGCAGCCCAUGGAGUCCUGAGACUAGUGCUGGAAUUGAAUGGAGAGACGGUUUGGAAAUGUGACCCUCACAUUGAGCUUCUGCACUGAGGGCUCUGAGAAGUUUGUUGAGUCCAAGACCUAUCUGCAGGCCCUUCCAUACUUUACUGGUUGGACUAUGUGUCCGUGAUGGGUGAUGAAUAGGCCUAUUCGCUAGCUGUGGAGAAGUUGCUAAGCAUCCCAUCUCCUCCCUGGGCACUGCAGACCCAAGUGCUCUUUGGAGAGAUCACACAGAUUUAAAACCGUAUCAUGGCUGUCAUCACACAUGCCCUGGACAUUGGUGCCAUGACUUCCCUUCUUCUGGAUGUUUGAAAAAAGAGAGGAGAUGUUUGGGUUCUCUGAGCGGGUGUCUGGAGCCCGAAUGCAUGCUGCUUAUAUUCAACCAGGAGGAAUGCACCAGCAUCUACCUCUUGGGGCUUAUGAUGACAUUUAUGAAUUUUCCAAGCACUUCUCUCUUCAGAUUGAUGAAGUGGAGGAGAUGCUGACCAACAAUAGAAACUGUCAAAAUAGCACAGUCAACAUUGUAUCAGCAGAAGACACACUUAGCUGUGGGGUGAAUAACUAGUGGGGUGAUGCGCCAAGGUUCAGGCAUCCCCUGGGACUUGCAGAAGACCGAGCCCUAUUACACAAACAGGUUGAGUUUGAUGUUCCUGUUGGUUCUUGAGAGGAGUGCUAUGCACUAGAUACCUGUGUGGUGUGGAGGAGUUGCACCAGUCCUUUCAAAUCAUUGGACGGGAUCUGAACAAGAUCACUCCAGAGGAGAUCAAAGUUGAUGAUGCCAAAGUGCCCCCACUUAAACAAGCAGAGAUGAAAACUUCCAUGGAGUCACUAAUUCAUCACUUUAAGCUGUAUACAGAGGGCUAUCAAGUUCCUCCAGGAGCCACAUAUACUGCCAUUGAGGCUCCUAAGAGAGAAUUUGGGGCUACUUGGUAUCUGGUGGCAGCAGCCAUCCUUAUUCGGUGUAAGAUCAAGGCUCCAGGUUUUGCUCACCUGGCUGGUUUGGACAAGAUGUCUGAGGGACACAUGUUGGCAGAUGUCAUAGCUAUCAUAGGUACCCAGGAUAUUGUGUUUGGAGAAAUGGACUGA
Molecule: RNA transcript, 1546 nt
Organism: Mus pahari (shrew mouse)
Lineage: Eukaryota; Metazoa; Chordata; Mammalia; Rodentia; Muridae
Gene name: NADH dehydrogenase [ubiquinone] iron-sulfur protein 2, mitochondrial pseudogene
Exons: 3
Source: RefSeq, a predicted model, not a curated record